AUACGGAGGGUGCAAGCGUUAAUCGGAAUUACUGGGCGUAAAGCGUGCGCAGGCGGUUUGUUAAGUCAGAUGUGAAAGCCCCGGGCUCAACCUGGGAACUGCAUUUGAAACUGGCAAACUAGAGUGUGGUAGAGGGAAGUGGAAUUCCUCAUGUAGCGGUGAAAUGCGUAGAUAUGAGGAGGAACACCAGUGGCGAAGGCGACUUCCUGGACCAACACUGACGCUCAUGUACGAAAGCGUGGGUAGCAAACAGGAUUAGAAACCCCGGUAGUCC
RNAcentral lists this ribosomal RNA (274 nucleotides) under uncultured bacterium. RNAcentral's name for it is "partial 16S ribosomal RNA". It matches the Rfam family "Bacterial small subunit ribosomal RNA", at positions 523 to 796 of the family's 1533-position model. The record is from RNAcentral.